CCAAUAGCGUAUAUUAAAGUUGUUGCAGUUAAAAAGCUCGUAGUUGAAUUUCGAGACCGGCUUACUGGUCGUGCUAUUGUGCGUACUGGUAUAAUCGGUUUCUCCUUUCUGACGAACUAUAAUGCCAUUAAUUUGGUGUUAUAGGGAAUCCGGACUGUUACUUUGAAAAAAUUAGAGUGUUUAAAGCAGGCCCACGCUUGAAUACAUUAGCAUGGAAUAACGGAAUAGGAUGGUUGAUUCUAUUUUGUUGGUUUCUAGGAUCGACGUAAUGAUUAAUAGGGAUAGUUGGAGGCAUUAGUAUUCAAUUGUCAGAGGUGAAAUUCUUGGAUUUAUUGAAGACUAACUACUGCGAAAGCAUUUGCCAAGGAUGUUUUCAUUAAUCAAGAACGAAAGUUAGGGGAUCGAAGACGAUCAGAUACCGUCGUAGUCUUAACCAUAAACUAUGCCGACUAGGGAUCGGAUGAUGUUAAUUUUUUAAUGACUCAUUCGGCGCCUUACG
This 499-nucleotide ribosomal RNA is filed under the name uncultured Glomeromycotina. RNAcentral describes it as "partial small subunit ribosomal RNA". It matches the Rfam family "Eukaryotic small subunit ribosomal RNA", at positions 591 to 1092 of the family's 1831-position model. The record is from RNAcentral. Lineage: Eukaryota; Fungi; Glomeromycota.